CUCGGCAACGGAUAUCUCGGCUCUCGCAUCGAUGAGGAACGUAGCGAAAUGCGAUACUUGGUGUGAAUUGCAGAAUCCCGUGAACCAUCGAGUCUUUGAACGCAAGUUGCGCCCGAAGCCAUUAGGCUGAGGGCACGUCUGCCUGGGCGUCACGC
This 155-nucleotide ribosomal RNA is filed under the name Origanum syriacum. RNAcentral describes it as "5.8S ribosomal RNA". It matches the Rfam family "5.8S ribosomal RNA". Rfam says of the family: 5.8S ribosomal RNA (5.8S rRNA) is a component of the large subunit of the eukaryotic ribosome. It is transcribed by RNA polymerase I as part of the 45S precursor that also contains 18S and 28S rRNA. Lineage: Eukaryota; Viridiplantae; Streptophyta; Magnoliopsida; Lamiales; Lamiaceae. The record is from RNAcentral.